Non-coding RNA from Vigna umbellata (rice bean), 488 nucleotides. The record is from RefSeq and is a predicted model, not a curated record. NCBI's taxonomy places the organism in Eukaryota, Viridiplantae, Streptophyta, Magnoliopsida, Fabales, Fabaceae.
GGAUGGAAGGAAAACUGGUCCUUCAAAUUUUCAAAAGCCUCUCUCCGAAGAUCCAUCCUCUUUUAUGUAAUCAUGUGUUGUUCUUGAGUAGAUGUGAAACUCCUCUAAUUUUAUCUGCAAAAUUCACGAUUUUGUAGCGAAUUGGAGAGGCCCUUGAGGAGAACAAGAACUUGUACCCUUCAAUGAUUCUUUGUGCAUCCACAAGCCUCCAAGAUCUGCACCAGAGAUACUACAAUUUGCAGCUGUAGCAGCUGGAACUCUCCUUGUAUGAAGUCUGUAUUUCUGCAAUAACAAUCUACUAAGCUUUAAUCUCAAGUCAAACAUUAGGAGGCACAGGGAGAAAUGAACAACACGAACGCACUUGUAAAUGACUCUUUACUUCGUCGUUGGUCAGGCCAUCAACCCUCAUGAGUUCCCUAAUUUGCUUUGGUGUAGCUGCUACAAUGAAAUAACAAAAAGAUUAGACAAUUAUGAACUAAGAUUUCACA